CCCAGUGGCCUAUUUCCACCCGAGAACCCGACACGAAGACCUCCACGUCCGAGCAGUCCGGAGUGAGAAUGACACCGAACCUGAACAACAUGACCUCAGUGUGUAAACACGCGUCGUGUUGCUGCCAUCAUGUGUCUUAAGGGAGGUUCUGCACACAGAAAUCUGGAGACAACGAAAGAAAGAGCAGCAUCACAGAAUGGACGGACUGUGAAGAGGAUUUUAGAUCCCAGCAGGCCAAAUGUUAAUGUUGGUAUCCUUUCUGUAGAACUGUAAAUUUGUUACCUCAUACUGUGAUUUCAGUGACCUGUUCUAAUUUACUUUGUAACCGAUUACGAUCUUAUUUUCUAUUUUUUCUUCUUCAGUCCAAUUCUUGAAGUUUUGUCUCUCCGUCAUUGUUCCCAUAAGGACUUCCACACAGCUCUAGUCACAUUUUCACAUUCACACAUAUGAGAAUGCUUGAAAAAAGUUCUUGGCCUCACCCAGACACAUGGUGCAUAACUCCUUUUUGGGGCAUAACUGUACAACAAAAAAUCCUUAAAUCACUGUCCACAAGAACUCGAAUGUUUAUAGCAAUCAAAGGAAAAGGAGAGAAAAGCUUUGAUCUGGGGUGAUGUUGCUCCAGGACAAUUCACAGGUGGCAGAAAGAGCCAAAUGUUGCUUCAAACUGUUGCCCCAUUACCAUCUAACUUCUGUUUCCCAAACUGAAAUCCAACUUGUGUAGUCGCCAUUUUCUGAGGGAUGAUGAUGUCAUUGAUGCUGUUGAGGAGAAUCUGGAGAUUCAAGAUGUCACCGUCUUCCUACUACGCUGAAAAAUAAUGAAAGAACAAUCAUUCUCCUGUGAUGUUUUCCGGUGAGGCUGAGAACCUUUAGAAGUUCCCUAUGUAUUCUUUUACUUUUUUAAACUGUUCCCUGAACUUUGAAUCUUUCUGAUGUAGUCUGUAUGAAAUUUGACAUGGCAUGUCGUGGCUGUCUCAGUGUUAAAAUCAUGGCUCCAAAUUCAGUGUAGUGGUUAGCACUGUCGCCUCACAGCUCGAAGGCCCUCUUGGGGUCUUUCUGUGUGAAGUUGGCAUGUUCUCCCUGUGCCUGUGUUGGUUUUCACUCCUCCAGCUUCCUCACACAGUCCAAAUACAUGCUUAUGUAAAUCGGUGAUUGUAAGUUGGCCAUAGGGGUGUGAUUGUGCUUGGUUGUUUGCUGUGAUGAACCGUCUUUUACCCAGCCAGCUUUGAUAGGCUCACCUCCUCACCCUCCGCUGCAUAAAGUAGGAAUAGAUAAUGGAUGGAUGGAUGGCUCAUUCAGACUCUGCUUGCCUGAAGAGUGACACAGUCAAUUUAGCUAUUACUUUGGUCCAAAGAUCGUCUAUAGCUGAUUAUUAAAAAAAAAAAAAGAAAACGCACAAAA
Molecule: long non-coding RNA, 1398 nt
Organism: Acanthochromis polyacanthus (spiny chromis)
Lineage: Eukaryota; Metazoa; Chordata; Actinopteri; Pomacentridae
Exons: 2
Source: RefSeq, a predicted model, not a curated record